Molecule: transfer RNA, 72 nt
Filed under: Ergaula capucina
Lineage: Eukaryota; Metazoa; Arthropoda; Insecta; Blattodea; Corydiidae
Description: tRNA-Leu
Source: RNAcentral
AUUGCUUUGGCAGAUAAGUGCAAUGAAUUUAGAAUUCAUAAAUGUGGUUAGAUAUUAAUUUCACAGGUAAUA